CGUGUUCCCACUAGAGAGAGAUGAUGGUUACGUUCUGCAUCUUGGAAAUACCAUUGUUGAUUCAUCAGGAACCCUGUUCUGGAAUCUUGGGGUGGAAGCUCUGUGCUGGCUUACCAUCUCCUCUGUCCUCUACGUUCUGGGUGAGUGGAUCAGCUGAGAACGAUACCCUGGAGUCACCAGCACGUGACUGAAGCCAUGGGAAGGGAUGUGAGUUUCCAGGGGUGAGUUAGGAAGCAUGACAAGAGAAGACGACCAAGGACAUCUGAUGGCAGAGGAGGCCCUGCUGAGGUGGGGACCGGCAUCAGGCACCCCAGAGCUUUUGGGCUCAGGCCUUGUUUCCUACUUGGGUUCCUGAUGAGGCAAAUAGCAUCUGGCCUCCUAUGGAAGUGUGUGCCCUACACGCAGGGCAAGAUGGUCUUGUCUCUGAACUCCUAGGUAGAGGAUUUUGAUGAAAAUCCAAAGACCAAUAGAUUCUGGAAUGAAGGUGCUGACCUCUGCUUCCUAAGCAUCCAGAUAUGUAAAAUCUCCUCACAGCUACUCUUCUCCCAGCAUAAAGUUAAGCUUUUUGAAUGUA
Ictidomys tridecemlineatus (thirteen-lined ground squirrel) is the source of this 574-nucleotide long non-coding RNA. RefSeq lists it as uncharacterized. The record is from RefSeq and is a predicted model, not a curated record. NCBI's taxonomy places the organism in Eukaryota, Metazoa, Chordata, Mammalia, Rodentia, Sciuridae.